Long non-coding RNA from Bactrocera dorsalis (oriental fruit fly), 592 nucleotides. RefSeq lists it as uncharacterized. NCBI's taxonomy places the organism in Eukaryota, Metazoa, Arthropoda, Insecta, Diptera, Tephritidae. The transcript is spliced from 3 exons. The record is from RefSeq and is a predicted model, not a curated record.
GUCUUCCCUGGAUCCACCAAAAGCUGUAAAUUUGCUAUUGAAAAAUACAUUGCUUUUUUGUCGUCUCACUUAUUUAUGUAUGUCUUCCGAACCGAUGGAUAAUAAGCGUGAGAUUGGGAAAAUGAGUAAACGGCGAAAACCUUCAUUUAAUUAUGCAGCGACCAAACGUUGGAGUAAAACGCCUCGCCAGCUGCCACUUACCAGCUCAAAAACGACUGAUAUUAUCGUGUUGCUCAUGAUAGCCUUUCUGGUCGUCAUCGCUACAACCAGUACAGAUGCUUCCAACUAGUUUAAUACUCAAGGACUUAAUUUCUCGCAUGAGCCGCCAUCGCGCAUCGAAUUUACCAACAAAGCUGGCAGCAUUGCCGAUUGCAUAACGCAUGAUAAUCCACCGCCAAAUGUCGAAUGACUGGACAAGGACAAUAAUCCGAUCAUCUCGAUAUCAAGGGUCCGUCAUAUGCUCGCUAACGGUUCACUCUAUUUCCCCUCCUUCGAGCGGAAGAGUUUCGUCAAGAUGUUCAUUGGUCCGUGUAUCAUUGUAUGGCCGGCAUUGCAGUGGGUACAAUUGUUUCUCGUGACGUUCUGAUCAAAG